Molecule: ribosomal RNA, 496 nt
Filed under: uncultured bacterium
Lineage: Bacteria
Description: partial 16S ribosomal RNA
Rfam family: Bacterial small subunit ribosomal RNA
Source: RNAcentral
GAUGAACGCUGGCGGCGUGCCUAAUACAUGCAAGUCGAGCGAACAGACGAGGAGCUUGCUCCUCUGACGUUAGCGGCGGACGGGUGAGUAACACGUGGAUAACCUACCUAUAAGACUGGGAUAACUUCGGGAAACCGGAGCUAAUACCGGAUAAUAUAUUGAACCGCAUGGUUCAAUAGUGAAAGACGGUUUUGCUGUCACUUAUAGAUGGAUCCGCGCCGCAUUAGCUAGUUGGUAAGGUAACGGCUUACCAAGGCAACGAUGCGUAGCCGACCUGAGAGGGGGGAGCGCCAACGCGGAAACGGAGACGGGGUCCAGCCCCCACGGGGAGGCAGAAGUGGGGAAUUUGCCGAAAGGGGCGAAGGCGUGAGGGACCACCGCGGGGGGGGUAAUGAGGUUUUUGGGAUGGAAAACCUUUGUUUUUGGGAAAAAACAAAGGUGAAAGAAACUAGCCCCUUCUGGACGGACCUAAAUAAAAAGGCCCCGACAAACUCCG